AUUGAACGCUGGCGGCAUGCCUUACACAUGCAAGUCGAACGGCAGCACGGGUGCUUCCACCUGGUGGCGAGUGGCGAACGGGUGAGUAAUACAUCGGAACAUGUCCUGUAGUGGGGGAUAGCCCGGCGAAAGCCGGAUUAAUACCGCAUACGAUCUACGGAUGAAAGCGGGGGACCUUCGGGCCUCGCGCUAUAGGGUUGGCCGAUGGCUGAUUAGCUAGUUGGUGGGGUAAAGGCCUACCAAGGCGACGAUCAGUAGCUGGUCUGAGAGGACGACCAGCCACACUGGGACUGAGACACGGCCCAGACUCCUACGGGAGGCAGCAGUGGGGAAUUUUGGACAAUGGGCGAAAGCCUGAUCCAGCAAUGCCGCGUGUGUGAAGAAGGCCUUCGGGUUGUAAAGCACUUUUGUCCGGAAAGAAAUCCUUGGCCCUAAUACGGUCGGGGGAUGACGGUACCGGAAGAAUAAGCACCGGCUAACUACGUG
This 486-nucleotide ribosomal RNA is filed under the name uncultured bacterium. RNAcentral describes it as "partial 16S ribosomal RNA". It matches the Rfam family "Bacterial small subunit ribosomal RNA", at positions 30 to 507 of the family's 1533-position model. The record is from RNAcentral.